This 497-nucleotide ribosomal RNA is filed under the name uncultured bacterium. RNAcentral's name for it is "partial 16S ribosomal RNA". It matches the Rfam family "Bacterial small subunit ribosomal RNA", at positions 28 to 507 of the family's 1533-position model. The record is from RNAcentral.
GACGAACGCUGGCGGCGUGCCUAAUACAUGCAAGUCGAGCGAACAGACGAGGAGCUUGCUCCUCUGACGUUAGCGGCGGACGGGUGAGUAACAUGUGGAUAACCUACCUAUAAGACUGGGAUAACUUCGGGAAACCGGAGCUAAUACCGGAUAAUAUAUUGCACCGUAUGGUUCAAUAGUGAAAUACGGUUUUGCUGUCACUUAUAGAUGGAUCUGCGCCGCAUUAGCUGGUUGGUAAGGUAACGGCUUACCAAGGGAAGGAUGCGUAGCCGACGUGAUAGAGGGGUCGGCGGCCUGGGAGCGUGGCCGGGGUCCAGACUCCUACGGGACGCAGCAGUAGGGAAUGUUCGGCAAUAGGCGAGAGCCUUGCGGAGCAGCGCCGCGUGUGAGAUGGAGGUCUUCGGAUCGUAAAACUCUGUUAUUGGGGAAAAACAAAUGUGUAAGUAACUAUGCACGUCUUGACGGUAACGAGUCAGAAAGCCACGGCUAACUACGUG